AGUGGAGGGAGCCAGACGGGGAAGGCCGUGCAGCUUGCGAUGCCCUUGGCAGGAAAUGCCCGGGGCGGGGAAGUCCGUGGAGCCCCGUACACCCUGGCGGUGGCCAGGGCCUGGGGGACCAGGAACCAGGAGCGCCUGCUGAACGUCGGGGCACCGCAAAACAAAACAAAGGCAUAGAGAACGGAAAUCCAGCCAGGCGAGGUUCAGUCUGACGUACAGGCUCAUGCCCCGAGCCGGGCUGAGUCCCCGCCCUGGGAGGUUGGAGGCUGAGGUCCCUGGCCCUACCCAUACUCCCAGCGCCUCAGGUUGCCCAGGGCCCAACCAGGAGGGCAGGAAGGUAACCCCCAGGACAGGUGAUACCCGCCAGGGGCCAGUCGGCCUGGAGAUUCUACGCCACCAACCUCUCGCGCACAGACCUGCACUCCACGUGGCAGUACUACGAGCGAACGGUCACCGUGCCCAUGUACAGGUACCGCCGCCGGGCACCUGCCACCAAGCAACUGUUUCAUUUUUUAUUUUCCAUUUGUUCUUAAACCCCACUUUUUGUUGUUCAUUAUUUUGAUUGAUUUUUUUUCUUUAAAAUGUAUUUUUCACAAAGGA
This 600-nucleotide unclassified non-coding RNA is filed under the name Homo sapiens (human). RNAcentral describes it as "potassium voltage-gated channel subfamily Q member 2 (ENSG00000281151.2)". The record is from RNAcentral. Lineage: Eukaryota; Metazoa; Chordata; Mammalia; Primates; Hominidae.